CCUACGGGUGGCAGCAGUGGGGAAUAUUGCACAAUGGGGGAAACCCUGAUGCAGCGACGCCGCGUGAAGGAAGAAGUAUUUCGGUAUGUAAACUUCUAUCAGCAGGGAAGAAAAUGACGGUACCUGACUAAGAAGCCCCGGCUAACUACGUGCCAGCAGCCGCGGUAAUACGUAGGGGGCAAGCGUUAUCCGGAUUUACUGGGUGUAAAGGGAGCGUAGGCGGUUUAGCAAGUCAGAAGGGAAAGCCCGGGGGCCAAACCCGGGACUGCUUUUGAAACUGUUUAACUUGCUUGCAGAUGAGGUAGGUGGAAUUACUUGUGUAGGGGUGAAAUGCGGAGAUAUUAGGAGGAAAACCGGUGGCGAAGGCGGCUUACUGGACUGUGAAUGACGCUGAGGCUCGAAAGCGUGGGGAGCAAACAGGAUUAGAUACCCGGGUAGUC
RNAcentral lists this ribosomal RNA (440 nucleotides) under uncultured bacterium. Its description in RNAcentral is "partial 16S ribosomal RNA". It matches the Rfam family "Bacterial small subunit ribosomal RNA", at positions 338 to 795 of the family's 1533-position model. The record is from RNAcentral.